This 24-nucleotide microRNA is filed under the name Gossypium raimondii (Peruvian cotton). RNAcentral describes it as "gra-miR7492o". The record is from miRBase by way of RNAcentral. Lineage: Eukaryota; Viridiplantae; Streptophyta; Magnoliopsida; Malvales; Malvaceae.
CUAAAGAUCUGAGCAUUAGUGGCG